UCAUUGGGCGUAAGGGGUCCGCAGGUGGCCAAUCAAGUCGGCUGUUAAAGACCGGGGCUUAACUCCGGGCAGGCAGUGGAAACUGAUUAGCUAGAGUACGGUAGGGGUAGAGGGAAUUCCCAGUGUAGCGGUGAAAUGCGUAGAUAUUGAGAAGAACACCGGUGGCGAAAGCGCUCUACUAGGCCGAAACUGACACUGAGGGACGAAAGCUAGGGUAGCGAAAGGGAUUAGAUACCCCUGUAGUCUUAGCUGUAAACGAUGGAUACUAGGUGUAGCUCGUAUCGACCCCAGCUGUGCCGAAGCCAACGCGAUAAGUAUCCCGCCUGGGGAGUACGCACGCAAGUGUGAAACUCAAAGGAAUUGGCGGGGGCCCGCACAGGCGGUGGAGUAUGUGGUUUAAUUCGAUGCAACGCGAAGAACCUUACCAGGGCCUGACAUGUCGCGAAUCUAGCGGAAACGUUAGAGUGCCUUAGGGAAUGCGAACACAGGUGGUGCAUGGCUGUCGUCAGCUCGUGUCGUGAGAUGUUGGGUUAAGUCCCGCAACGAGCGCAACCCUCGUCCUUAGUUGCCAAUAUUAAGUUAGGCACUCUAGGGAUACUGCCGGGGACAACUCGGAGGAAGGUGGGGAUGACGUCAAGUCAGCAUGCCCCUUACGUCCUGGGCGACACGCGUACUACAAUGGUUGGGACAAAGGGCAGCAAGCUCGCGAGAGUAAGCGAAUCUCAUCAAACCCAGCCACAGUUCAGAUUGCAGGCUGCAACUCGCCUGCAUGAAGUAGGAAUCGCUAGUAAUCGCAGGUCAGCAUACUGCGGUGAAUUCGUUCCCGGGCCUUGUACACACCGCCCGUCACACCAUGGAAGCUGGCUACGCCCGAAGUCGUUACCCUAACCCUAAGGGGAGGGGGAUGCCGAAGGUAGAGCUAGUGACUGGGGUGAAGUCGUAACAAGGUAGCCGUACCUGAAGGUGUGGCUGGAUCACCUCCUUU
RNAcentral lists this ribosomal RNA (985 nucleotides) under uncultured cyanobacterium. RNAcentral's name for it is "bacterial SSU rRNA". It matches the Rfam family "Bacterial small subunit ribosomal RNA", at positions 551 to 1533 of the family's 1533-position model. Lineage: Bacteria; Bacillati; Cyanobacteriota. The record is from RNAcentral.